Molecule: long non-coding RNA, 5362 nt
Filed under: Octopus vulgaris (common octopus)
Lineage: Eukaryota; Metazoa; Mollusca; Cephalopoda; Octopoda; Octopodidae
Source: RNAcentral
CUUAGUGCAAUGUUUAAAAGCCAUUAUCAAACUCACUACAAGGAUUAUUAUGUUGCUAUCUCUUCCGCUCGUGUGUCCAAAUGGUCACCCUGUCGUGGACUUAGGCCAGUUCCUUACCUCCACCUUGGACAAUGAAAAGGUCAGUAUAUUACACAUUUAAAUACAUAUAAACAUUGUAAACAAUACGGUUUUAGUUUGUUUCCUUAUGGUGCGUGGUUUUUGCUGAAAUCCGCGUUGUCGAUCAUGUUUAAAACCCCUACUUCUACAGUCUUUACUGAACCAGUAGGUGGAUUAUGGGUGAUCGGAGAGACGUUCCAACCGUGACCGAUCGGAAAACUAUGUCAUCGAUGUAUAUGGCUCUUUCUAUACAUAUAUAUGACAAUUUUUCCAAGGACAAUGGUUAAAAUUCAAACUUGUUUUAUUUUAUUGUUUUUUUUUAAUAUAUUUUACAUGCGCAGGAGUGGCUGUGUGGUAAGUAGCUUGCUAACCAACCACAUGGUUCCGGGUUCAGUCCCACUGCGUGGCAUCUUGGGCAAGUGUAUUCUGCUAUAGCCCCGGGCCGACCAAUGCCUUGUGAGUGGAUUUGGUAGACGGAAACUGAAAGAAUCCUGUCGUAUAUAUGUAUAUAUGUAUGUAUGUGUGUGUGUCUGUGUUUGUCCCCCUAGCAUUGCUUGACAACCGAUGCUGAUGUGUUUACGUCCCCGUCACUUAGCGGUUCGGCAAAAGAGACCAAUAGAAUAAGUACUGGGCUUACAAAGAAUAAGUCCCGGGGUCGAUUUACUCGACUAAAGGCGGUGCUCCAGCAUGGCCGCAGUCAAAUGAUUGAAACAAGUAAAAGAGUAAAGAGUAUGCAUACAUAUAUAAUACAUAUGUAUAUUUACACAUGCUCAUAUGUGCAUGCAUGUACAUAUUUAUACACAAAUAUACACAACAUACGGCACACACAUACCCAGACACGUAUACACACAUAUACAUCUACACAUAUGUACAUACGUAUCAAACAAUGUACGCUCGCACGGUUAUAUAUAACUGCAUAUAUGUAUUUUAGUACCAUGCAUUUCAACAUUUAUGCAUGGAUUACUACAUGUAAAUGAGAGAGAGAGAGAGAGCCAGCUUAUAGAAUACUUGUUCUAAACGAUUAUCAAGAACACACACUCACACAUGAAUCAUAAACUCCGUAUUUUUGUACGUGUUCCGCAAAAAAAAAACAGAAGAAAAUAAGCUGUAAAUGUAUCUAUUUUACAAUUUAUGAACCAAGCAAAUACGAAACUAUGGCGGCUAAAAACUGGUGUCUGACUUUUCGCAAAGCAUUGUGGGAUUGUUGUCGUAUGCUUUUCAAUGGCGACGGUCUCUGUUUUUUUAUUGAAUUUUCGUCUUUGAAUGUUUUUCCUGCAGCUAACAAUUAUGAAAGAAGUAGGUAAGAAAUUAUUAUUAUUGUUAUUGUUAAUAUCUAGAAAAAAUAAGUGAGAGUAGUUGGUGACGAUGUAAAGAGAAAAGCUGAAGGAAGUCUGUUGUGACGGAAGGCCGCUCGGUUUUCAUUUUAUUUAGUGGCAAAAUGUAUAAAAAGUUUGGAGUUGAGGUUCAUAAUUAAGAUGUUGGUUAAAACGAAAGAUUAUCUUUCGUUUCUAGUAGACCUUUCCGUCGAUUUCGUAAAAAACUUUUAUUUUUUUUUACAUAUGGGUUUGCGGGAACUUUUGAAGUAAUGAGAGCGAAAGAGACUAAGAGGAAGCGAUUGUAUGAGGAGGGAAUUUCUUUUUGAAGUUACCGCGAAUGGGAAGCUUUGAUGUACAUGUGUGUGUGUGUGUGUGUUGUGUUUGAUGGGGUGUGCGAGACAGAAAGUAUGUUGUGUAAGUGAAGUGCUUCUGUUAGUGUGUGUGAAGAGACAGAGAGAGAUAACUGAAAUUUUUUACUCGGUGUAUGUGUAUAUGUAUGUAUGCAUGUAUGUGUGUGUGUGUGUGUGUGUAUGUAUCUAUCUAUGUAUGUGUGUGUGUGUGUAUGUAUGUAUGGCCGAUUCAGUGUUUACAUUAUUUCGAGUUAAAACGAGAGAUUACCUUUGCCUGUUUAUGUAACGGUCUGCUAUGUAGAAAACAAUGAGGUUGACUCAAUGGAAUAAUGACAUUGAUCGAAGAUAUAGACACAUUUUUUUUUAUUUAAUCGUUAUACAUGCCUUGUCGACUGCUAUUGUGCAGCCUUAAUGUCUCUGUUGAUGUGACGAUGGUGAUAUGGUAAGAAAAAGACGGGAGAGUUAUAAAAUGAGGAGGAGAUAUUCUUCUCAUGAGAAAAGAGUUGCAUGCAAAGGAAAAAAAAAGUUAAGUCUAUAGAUGUGCACAGAAACUGGGUGCAAGCAUGCAUAUAUAUGCAUGUAACAUGAGACAUGUAAAAGUUUCCAUUUGCAUAAUACUUGGCUGCUUGUCACUUCAAAUAAAGAGUAUUGAACUGAUAUUAAAGCCAAAAUUUUCCUUUCGCUACUAUUAGGAAGUUUUUCAUUUUUACUUUCAGAGUUAAAAAAUGAAUGAUUACACUUAUUUGUUUACAUGCGAACUUUUGUUUAUUUUAUAUCCUUCUAUAUGUUGGAUAUGCAAAUUUCACGAAGCGGGGAUAGACACAACUGUCUUCACACAACCCACUUCAGAUUACUCUACUAAACACAAUACUUCUAAUAAAUAUAAACUCUGAACAAUGUCAACAACUUCCAUGAACUCCCAAUGACUCUCUUUGUCUCAACCAAUAUGCUAAUUUUUUUAUAAGAGUUUUGCUAGUCCAUUCUUCCAAUCCCAUAGGGGUGCCAAUGACUCUCACCACAACAGUUUAUACAUGUAGACUUUUCUUUAUACAUGUAGAUUUUACCAAGCAAGUAGCCCAUGCGAAGCUUCACCUAUAUGUAAGUACAUAAUUUUUUUGUUAAAUUAAGUUUUCUGUUAGUUAACCAUAGCUGUUUGUAAAUUGAACAACUGUUUCUCUGUGUAUAUUGAACAAUUUCCAUAAGACAUAUAUGUUUGCAAAUUUAAAAUAUGUUUGUUUCCCAAUGCCAUGGUUUAGGGUCUAGUUCUACUGUGUGGCAUUUUGGGCAAGAGUCUUCGACUAUAGGUAGGGACCAACAAAUGCAUUUUUAGUGAAAGUGGUUGAUGGGAACUAUAUGAAGCUUAUUGCAUGUGUGUGUAUACACCAUAUCAAUUAUGUGAUGCAUGUUAUAGGUAACUGUUGACAAAAAGUGCAAAAUACUCAUUGAAAAAUCAAAAUAAUUUAGAGUAAUGUCAAGAAGGGAUGUGGAAUGGAUAGUGAAAGGUCUGGCUUGGAAGGUGUCCCACAGUAUUGCUGCCUGGGCCUAUGUGUCAUCUUGCUACUGCAAGAGAGUACAGACCAUUGAAUGUUUGUGAAAUAUUGGCAUCUAAGAUUAUGAACUCUUUGGAUUUACUGAUUACCUUGAUGUCAGUGAGAUUGCCAUUGUCAAACAAGAGAUUUGUUACCUUAGUAAGUGUCUACCCUCCAACCAUGUGUUCCUCUGAAGAGAAAAAAAGGACUAAUAUUUUAUCUUUCAUGAAAAAAGCUUCUGUGCAGUAUUCUUUCUGCUUAUAAAAUCUUCAUACUUGGUGAUUUCAGAGAUAAAAAAAAUUGGGAUAUAAUUGGGAAACAUGAAGCCAGAAAAUGCAAUAGUAAUGGCUUGUUUAGUACUGCAAAUGUGUUCGAUUUUUGCAUAUACUGGGUAACUGUCAAUCUCCUAGUGUGGAGCAUGCUGUAUUUGAGCACCAAAUAUGUGGGAGUAUUUAUGUGAUCAAGAUGAAAGGCAAUUAGGUCUCAUUAAUUUCUGUUUGGUGAGUUGGCCCUGAGGAAAAAUCUAGGGAACAAAUUGAAAUUAAGGCAUGAAUGCAUUAGAGACACUUAGAGGAUCUAGAUCAAAUUAGAGACAGUGAAAACAUCACUAAGUUUUUGAUGGAAAAAAUUGUUUCAUGUUGGAAUGAGUGAAUUUGAAUGAAUGUCAAUAAAAUCUUAGUGUGCAUGAAAAGCUUGAGAGAGAUUUUUGAAAAGGUCUUAAUAUUAAUGUUUCCAUUGUGUUUUGCUUCAAAAACUACAUAGACAUGACAGAAUUAAAUAGACAUCCUUAUAAUUGUUAAAAUUUAUUUAAAUUAUUUAUUAAUUAUUAUAAUGUGAAUAUCUAAUAUUUAGUAGACAGGCUCCUUGCAUUUUUGAAUGCAAGGACCCUAGCAGGCAUGCUACUGAUCUGAUGAAUAUUCUCUUCAUGAUUUUCUUGCCAAGUUUCUUGCAGUAAUAUCAAAAGAUCUGGCUUUAAGGAUGCUUUCUUUUUCUUUUUAGGAAGUAUCCCAUCCAUCAUGCCUCAGAUGUGUUCAGUAGGGUUCAUAUCUGGUGAUUGGCUUAGCUAUGGAAGCUUUUUAAUGCCAUUCUCUUCCAACCAAUCCUGGGUCUUUUAGUUGUGCAAGAAAGCCCUAUCUUCCAUAAAUAGUGUUAUUUAAUCAUUUUACUCCUGGAGGUUAUAGGAAGAAGAUUUUUCUAUAAUAUGGACACAUAUUUAUCUGAGUUUAUGUAUCCCUCACAUUCCACCAUUUCUGAUUGACUAUUGCUCCAAACUGCUCUCUAGACCAUCACAUGUUUCAUUGUUGGCUGCAAUAUAUUCACGUGAAAAUAUUGGUGACUGAUUCUCCAGACCCACAUUCGAUCAGUGUCAGAAAAUACAGCAAAUCUGGAUUCAUCAGAGGAUUUGACUGUGUCCCAAAGUGCUAGUGACCUCUCUACCAUUUCACUUGUCCAAUCUUUUCUCCAUUUGAUAUUGGCUGGUCGAAGCAGUGUCUUCUUUCUUGCUGCUCUGCCAUAAUAGCCAAUUUUGCGGAGAUAACUGACAGCUAUUCUGGGACUGACAUCAACUUAUUCUGCUAUAUUGGAGGCCUUGCAAUGAGGAUUAUCUUACACACUUCUCUUAAGAAAGCAAAGUGUUGUCAGAGGGCCUUAGUCUACCUGGGUAAGGUGAUAUGGACUACUUUCCCGUUUAGUGAAUUGAAAAAUUACUCUAUUUACUGUAGAAAGUAGAAUCACAAUGUUUUCUGUGGUUUUAGGCUAAGUCAGCCUUGAAAUAGGUGCAGCAUAUGGCCUCUUUGUAAAUUGGACAUUUUUAAGGCUUCUUUUGUACAUGGCAUGAUUAAACAGUUACAUAUAGAACCUGAAACAUAUAAAUGUCAAUUAAUAAAAAAAAUAUAAACCUCUUCAAGUUAUAAUAACAAUGUGUUAAUGGGUAUCUAUUUACUUUUGUCAUGUUUGUGUACAAAUGUAUCAUUUGUUACAACUGCACUUUGAAAGAAAAAGAAAACCUUUAGUAGAAAAUUAGCAUUAGCUACGACAACGUUACCCAACU